RNAcentral lists this ribosomal RNA (443 nucleotides) under uncultured bacterium. Its description in RNAcentral is "partial 16S ribosomal RNA". It matches the Rfam family "Bacterial small subunit ribosomal RNA", at positions 338 to 795 of the family's 1533-position model. The record is from RNAcentral.
CCUACGGGAGGCUGCAGUGGGGAAUAUUGGGCAAUGGGCGCAACUCUGACCCAGCAACGCCGCGUGAAGGAAGAAGGCCUUCGGGUUGUAAACUUCUUUGCUCAGGGACGAAGAAAGUGACGGUACCUGAGGAAUAAGCCACGGCUAACUACGUGCCAGCAGCCGCGGUAAUACGUAGGUGGCAAGCGUUAUCCGGAUUUAUUGGGUGUAAAGGGAGUGUAGGCGGGGUAGCAAGUCAGAUGUGAAAAUGCGGGGCUCAACCCCGGGCCUACAUGUGAAACUGUGUGUCUUGAGUGCUGGAGAGGUAAGCGGAAUUCCGAGUGUAGCGGUGAAAUGCGUAGAUAUUCGGAGGAACACCAGUGGCGAAGGCGAAUUGCUGGACUGUAACUGACGCUGAGGCGCGAAAGCGUGGGGAGCAAACAGGAUUAGAUACCCUGGUAGUC